CCCUACUGCUAUCGGGGUGGGACUAAGACAUGCGAGUCGAGCGUCUCCAGCUAUGGUGAGACGCGGCAGACGGCUCAGUAACACGUGGCUAACCUACCCUCAGGACGGGGACAAACCCGGGAAACUGGGGCUAAUACCCGAUAGGCGAGAAUGUCUGGAAUGAUUUCUCAUUCAAAGGGCUUUAGAAACAUGCUUCUAAAGUCGCCUGGGGAUGGGGCCGCGUCCGAUCAGGUUGUUGGUGAGGUAACGGCUCACCAAGCCUAUAACCGGUACGGGCCGUGAGAGCGGUAGCCCGGAGAUGGGUACUGAGACAAGGACCCAGGCCCUACGGGGCGCAGCAGUCGCGAAAACUCCGCAAUGCACGAAAGUGUGACGGGGCUACCCCGAGUGCCAUCCGCUGAGGAUGGCUUUUCUUUGGUGUAACUAGCCGGGGGAAUAAGGAGAGGGCAAGACUGGUGUCAGCCGCCGCGGUAAUACCAGCUCUCCGAGUGGUAGGGAUGAUUAUUGGGCUUAAAGCGUCCGUAGCCGGCUUAGCAAGUCUCCUGUUAAAUUCAGCGACCUAAUCGUUGAGCCGCGGGAGAUACUACUAGGCUAGGAGGCGGGAGAGGUCGACGGUACUUCUGGGGUAGGGGUGAAAUCCUAUAAUCCCGGGAGGACCACCAGUGACGAAGGCUGUUGACUAGAACGCGCUCGGCGGUGAGGGACGAAAGCUGGGGGAGCGAACCGGAUUAGAUACCCGGGUAGUCCCAGCCGUAAACGACGCGGGCUAGGUGUUGGGGUGGCUACGUGCCACUUCAGUGCCGCAGGGAAGCCAUUAAGCCCGCCGCCUGGGGAGUACGGCCGCAAGGCUGAAACUUAAAGGAAUUGGCGGGGGAGCACCACAAGGCGUGAAGCUUGCGGUUC
This 903-nucleotide ribosomal RNA is filed under the name uncultured archaeon. RNAcentral describes it as "bacterial SSU rRNA". It matches the Rfam family "Archaeal small subunit ribosomal RNA", at positions 21 to 903 of the family's 1478-position model. The record is from RNAcentral.